GUGGGGAAUAUUGCGCAAUGGGGGAAACCCUGACGCAGCAACGCCGCGUGAGUGAUGAAGGCUUUCGGGUCGUAAAACUCUGUCAUUGGGGAAGAAAAAAAUGACGGUACCCAAUGAGGAAGCCCCGGCUAACUACGUGCCAGCAGCCGCGGUAAUACGUAGGGGGCAAGCGUUGUCCGGAAUUAUUGGGCGUAAAGGGUGCGUAGGUGGCCUGAUAAGUCAGAUGUGAAAUACCGAGGCUCAACUUCGGAGGUGCAUUUGAAACUAUUAGGCUUGAGUGCAGGAGAGGAAAGUGGAAUUCCUAGUGUAGCGGUGAAAUGCGUAGAGAUUAGGAGGAACACCAGUGGCGAAGGCGACUUUCUGGACUGUAACUGACACUGAGGCACGAAAGCGUGGGGAGCAAACAGGAUUAGAAACCCUAGUAGUCC
This 428-nucleotide ribosomal RNA is filed under the name uncultured bacterium. RNAcentral's name for it is "bacterial SSU rRNA". It matches the Rfam family "Bacterial small subunit ribosomal RNA", at positions 354 to 796 of the family's 1533-position model. The record is from RNAcentral.